GCCCCCUUAGCUCAGUUGGCAGAGCACUUCCAUGGUAAGGAAGGGGUCUACGGUUCGAGUCCGUAAGGGGGCU
Molecule: transfer RNA, 73 nt
Filed under: Acidimicrobiia bacterium
Lineage: Bacteria; Bacillati; Actinomycetota; Acidimicrobiia
Also listed under: 2 other names
Description: tRNA-Thr
Rfam family: tRNA
About the family: Transfer RNA (tRNA) molecules are approximately 80 nucleotides in length. Their secondary structure includes four short double-helical elements and three loops (D, anti-codon, and T loops). Further hydrogen bonds mediate the characteristic L-shaped molecular structure. tRNAs have two regions of fundamental functional importance: the anti-codon, which is responsible for specific mRNA codon recognition, and the 3' end, to which the tRNAs corresponding amino acid is attached (by aminoacyl-tRNA synthetases). tRNAs cope with the degeneracy of the genetic code in two manners: having more than one tRNA (with a specific anti-codon) for a particular amino acid; and 'wobble' base-pairing, i.e. permitting non-standard base-pairing at the 3rd anti-codon position.
Source: RNAcentral